ACUUGUACCGACUGGAUGAGCAGCGAACGGGUGAGUAACGCGUGGGGAAUCUGCCUUUGAGCGGGGGACAACAUUUGGAAACGAAUGCUAAUACCGCAUAAAAACUUUAAACACAAGUUUUAAGUUUGAAAGAUGCAAUUGCAUCACUCAAAGAUGAUCCCGCGUUGUAUUAGCUAGUUGGUGAGGUAAAGGCUCACCAAGGCGAUGAUACAUAGCCGACCUGAGAGGGUGAUCGGCCACAUUGGGACUGAGACACGGCCCAAACUCCUACGGGAGGCAGCAGUAGGGAAUCUUCGGCAAUGGACGAAAGUCUGACCGAGCAACGCCGCGUGAGUGAAGAAGGUUUUCGGAUCGUAAAACUCUGUUGGUAGAGAAGAACGUUGGUGAGAGUGGAAAGCUCAUCAAGUGACGGUAACUACCCAGAAAGGGACGGCUAACUACGUGCCAGCAGCCGCGGUAAUACGUAGGUCCCGAGCGUUGUCCGGAUUUAUUGGGCGUAAAGCGAGCGCAGGUGGUUUAUUAAGUCUGGUGUAAAAGGCAGUGGCUCAACCAUUGUAUGCAUUGGAAACUGGUAGACUUGAGUGCAGGAGAGGAGAGUGGAAUUCCAUGGGUAAGCGGGUGUGGGAAAAC
This 630-nucleotide ribosomal RNA is filed under the name Lactococcus lactis. Its description in RNAcentral is "bacterial SSU rRNA". It matches the Rfam family "Bacterial small subunit ribosomal RNA", at positions 73 to 707 of the family's 1533-position model. Lineage: Bacteria; Bacillati; Bacillota; Bacilli; Lactobacillales; Streptococcaceae. The record is from RNAcentral.